AGAGUUUGAUCCUGGCUCAGAUUGAACGCUGGCGGCAUGCCUUACACAUGCAAGUCGAACGGCAGCACGGAGCUUGCUCUGGUGGCGAGUGGCGAACGGGUGAGUAAUAUAUCGGAACGUACCCUUGGGUGGGGGAUAACGUAGCGAAAGUUACGCUAAUACCGCAUACGAUCUACGGAUGAAAGUGGGGGCUCANCAAUGACCUCNUGCUCNUGGAGCANCCGAUAUCUGAUUANCUAGUUGGUAGGGUAAAANCCUACCUAGGCAUCNAUCAGUANCUGGUCUGAGAGGACGACCANCCACNCUGGANCUGANACACGGUCCANACUCCUACGGGAGGCAGCAGUGGNGAAUUUUGGACAAUGGGCGAAAGCCUGAUCCAGCAAUGCCGCGUGAGUGAAGAACGNCUUCGGGUUGUAAANCUCUUUUGUCAGGNAAGAAACGGUGGUUUCUANUACNGAUCACUAGUGACGGUACCUGAANAAUAAGCACCGGNUANCUACGUGCCAGCAGCCGCGAUAAUACGUAGGGUGC
RNAcentral lists this ribosomal RNA (534 nucleotides) under uncultured bacterium. Its description in RNAcentral is "partial 16S ribosomal RNA". It matches the Rfam family "Bacterial small subunit ribosomal RNA", at positions 8 to 535 of the family's 1533-position model. The record is from RNAcentral.